CUACGGGCCGCAGCAGUGAGGAAUAUUGCACAAUGGGGGGAACCCUGAUGCAGCAACGCCGCGUGGAGGAUGACGCAUUUCGGUGUGUAAACUCCUUUUAUAUGUCAAGAAAAUGACGGUAGCAUAUGAAUAAGCACCGGCUAACUCCGUGCCAGCAGCCGCGGUAAUACGGGGGGUGCAAGCGUUACUCGGAAUCACUGGGCGUAAAGGACGUGUAGGCGGGUUGGAAAGUCAGGUGUGAAAUCCUACAGCUUAACUGUAGAACUGCACUUGAAACUUCUAAUCUAGAGUAUGGGAGGGGGAGAUGGAAUUAGUGGUGUAGGGGUAAAAUCCGUAGAUAUCACUAGGAAUACCUAAAGCGAAGGCGAUCUCCUGGAACAUUACUGACGCUAAGGCGUGAAAGCGUGGGGAGCAAACAGGAUUAGAUACCCGUGUAGUC
RNAcentral lists this ribosomal RNA (439 nucleotides) under uncultured bacterium. Its description in RNAcentral is "partial 16S ribosomal RNA". It matches the Rfam family "Bacterial small subunit ribosomal RNA", at positions 339 to 795 of the family's 1533-position model. The record is from RNAcentral.